Peromyscus eremicus (cactus mouse) is the source of this 3090-nucleotide long non-coding RNA. RefSeq lists it as uncharacterized. The transcript has 5 exons. NCBI's taxonomy places the organism in Eukaryota, Metazoa, Chordata, Mammalia, Rodentia, Cricetidae. The record is from RefSeq and is a predicted model, not a curated record.
CCCCAGGGGCCCUCAGGCUUGGGCACAGCAUCCCUAGGAUGCUGGGAGAAAGACAUGCCCAUCUUUGCUGUAGGGCCCUGAUGAUGAGCCCAGGGGUGGGCUGGCAUUGUGGCCAAGGAUACCAGGGCUCAGCUGGAAGGAACUGACCAGGAACCUGAGGUUUGGGCCCAGAGGCCAGGACUCCUCUUGGUCCCAGCCCACCCUCACUUAGGGCUUUACCAAUGUUCUCUGGAUAGUGGUCAGGUAACGGUGGGCGCCACUGAUACUCCGGCCAGCCUAGGACUUCGCCAUUCCGCUGAUUCUGCUCCUGCAGCCACUGACUGACUGGUUGGAAGUACUCCAGCAGGGCCUGGGCAUCCAGGGCAUCUGAGCCCACCAUAUCCUUCAGCACCUCCUGCCAGGGCCUGGAGCCGCCAGCCUGCAGCACCUGCCUGCCAAGGAGAGUGAGCACUAUAGGUGUGGGGGACACAGGCUGGGGUCCACAACAGUGCUGCUGACCGGCUGUCCUCCAGCAGUAAAAGAACUCCAGGCCUAGGGUCUCUGUGAGAGUGGUAGGGGACAUUCGCCUGGCCCCAUGGCAGUUGAAGGCCAGCUCAAUAAAUAUUUGAUAUAAAGAGGAGAAGGGGGGAAGAGGGAGGGAGAGAGCUGGGGGAGGAGAGGAAAGAGUUACUCCAGAGCAGUAUAGCUUUGUGCUGUUCCAACCAGAACAGUCAGCUACCUGCAGAAAUACUGUUCGCCAGCCUCCCCUCAGCCUCGAGCUGUUUUUCCCUUUCUGCCACAUACCGGAGCUUGGCCCCAGCCUGGGUAGACUGGUAGAUGUCACACUGGUGUAGUGGGCCCUGGUGGCCUGCCUCCUUGCACAGUGCUUGAUGGAACUGGAACUGUAGAAUGAAGCUCACAAAAUACCUGUAGGGACAGAGCAGGUGCUAGGAGGACUGUGGAGAGCGAGACAAAAGCCCCUUGUUCAGGCUCUAUCCUGUGUUCGGCAGGGUGACAGCUGGACUAAGGGCUAGCAGUAGGAAGAAGGAAAAACAAUUGAGCGCAGCCCAGGAGAAAGGGUCAUUCUAAUUCUCAGCCCUUGGGCCUGAAGGAUGAUGGAGCGGGAGGAACACACAGCCCUGGUACCUGAUAUACGGUGCCACAUUUGGGAUAUGAAACUUGGCUCCAGCAUCAAAAUGGGUUUCAUUCCGGACAACUGGAGGGCAGAUCCCCUGAUACUUGGUUCUAGAAGGGGAUGUGUAAAAUCUUAAGGCUCUAGGGAUGCACAGGCUGCUUGAGAUUUGCAGAAAAGGUACGGGUUCCACCCGUAGCCCACCCCUCCCACAGCAUCCCUUCUACAUCCUGGAAGAUGGGGGAAACUUCCUGGAGGGUACCCAGCUGAUUGCUUCUCAAAGCUUCAGGGAUGGUGAGCUAAUGGGAUGACGUGCCCUACCUCCCUGGAGUAGAACAGUCCUCCAGCACAGAGGCAGGUCUGAGUCACAGCGGCCUCCUCCUUGGACCCCCCCCCCCCCACACACACACACUCCUCUUCCCAGGUCUAGACCUGAAGUCCUUCCUGUUGUAGAAGUCCCAGGCUGAGGCAUGGCACACCACCUCCCGCCCAUCACUUGGCUUCUCCAGCAUCGACUCUGCCCAGAACUCAGGAGGCAUUGGUGAGAGCCCCAGCGAGGUGAAGAAUUCCUCUGCUACCCGGAACAUGUGUGUAGCAUUCCAGCCCUGGGCAGGAGGCUUUGUUGCUGAGGGCGGUGAAGUCUUCAUAGAGGGGUUUCAGUGGGAUGCCCACAACAUCAUGCCAGCUCUCCCAGGCAAACAGCAGCUUGGCAUAACUUCGUGAGGAAGCCAGAAUGUUGGUGAGCUCUGAGACAGGGGGAGCCAUAGAGUGGGCCACAAGCGCGGGCACUCCUGCCCCUACCCUUUGGCUACACAGCUGACAGUCGGCAGCAUUUCAGCUCACAAGAACCAUCAUGCAUUGUCCCAACAGAGCCCUAGACUUCACAGCUGCACGAUGUGAGAGCUACAAAAUGCCUUACAGAUUAUAACAACCCCCCUGCUUUUUAAAAACGGAGAAACUACCAGAGACAGAUUGGCUUCAAGUCACCUCAGGUCUCCACACUCCCAGUCGUUUGUCUCCUCUACCUGUCCCUCAAAGUGACAAGCAUGGGGGAAGGAGGAUCACAUCCUCUCGAGGCACUAGGAGGCUGUGAAGGCUAACCCCUCAGCACCAGGGCUGUGCCCCCAAAGAGGUGGGAAGACCUUUGUCCCUGGUAGAUGGGGUGAUGGCAUUCAUACAGGAGAUGAUGUGACCUGGAGACUCGGUGAGAUUGUGCCAGCCUGUCAGGUGACAUGCUAGAGGAGAGGCCCCAGAGGACUGAUAGUGAUGGAGACAGAAAGUGGCGAGCAAGGGGCCACCUGGUGAGAACUAGAAACGGAACUGAAAGCAAGAAGGAGAGAGGAAGACAGGGUGGGGCUGGGACCCAACUUGUCUCGGAAGAGUUCCUGAGUACCCGGGCCAGGAGAGUGGAAGAACAGGCAGUCCGCUCUGCUGGCUCAUUCUCAGGCCCAGCUGGGUGGCAGCGUGACAUCGUCUAUAGUCUUGAGUUAGGGACUGAGUUCAGGAGUGAGUAGCUCUGCCUUACAGAAAAAUGACAAAAGCAAAGGUUAAUUACUGUUAUCAGGGAUAGGUUGGAGUCAUCACCCCCUUCUCCCCCUGGGUGACAUUUUAUUAAGAGCUGGUUGAAACACAGCUUCCACCACUACACCAUACUUUCCAGGAGGGUUGAGACGAGGUCAGUCUGCCUUAUUCCCUGUGGCUUUCCCAGAACUUAGCACAUACCUGUUACAAAAGAGGGAGGCAUGGAGAUGUGGGGAAGGAGUGACCAGCGUUCAUGUUCACACCUCCGGAUGGAAGCUCCACUACCCACAAGAGUAAUCUAUGAAGAGCCAAACCUCACCAAUUUGGAACUUACAGUAAUACAGACAUUGCAACCUUGAUAUCCUGAAAAGUAAAAGUUAAAAAUAGCUUUCUCUAUUUUUAGGGUCUUACUCAUGAGGGAGAGGAGAAAUAAAAAUGUACCUUACAUUUGUCUGGCA